RNAcentral lists this ribosomal RNA (663 nucleotides) under Turicibacter sp. HGA0205. RNAcentral describes it as "bacterial SSU rRNA". It matches the Rfam family "Bacterial small subunit ribosomal RNA", at positions 123 to 791 of the family's 1533-position model. The record is from RNAcentral. Lineage: Bacteria; Bacillati; Bacillota; Erysipelotrichia; Erysipelotrichales; Turicibacteraceae.
UAUCUGCCCAUCAGACGGGGACAACGAUUGGAAACGAUCGCUAAUACCGGAUAGGACGAAAGUUUAAAGGUGCUUCGGCACCACUGAUGGAUGAGCCUGCGGCGCAUUAGCUAGUUGGUAGGGUAAAGGCCUACCAAGGCGACGAUGCGUAGCCGACCUGAGAGGGUGAACGGCCACACUGGGACUGAGACACGGCCCAGACUCCUACGGGAGGCAGCAGUAGGGAAUCUUCGGCAAUGGGCGAAAGCCUGACCGAGCAACGCCGCGUGAAUGAUGAAGGCCUUCGGGUUGUAAAAUUCUGUUAUAAGGGAAGAAUGGCUCUAGUAGGAAAUGGCUAGAGUGUGACGGUACCUUAUGAGAAAGCCACGGCUAACUACGUGCCAGCAGCCGCGGUAAUACGUAGGUGGCGAGCGUUAUCCGGAAUUAUUGGGCGUAAAGAGCGCGCAGGUGGUUGAUUAAGUCUGAUGUGAAAGCCCACGGCUUAACCGUGGAGGGUCAUUGGAAACUGGUCAACUUGAGUGCAGAAGAGGGAAGUGGAAUUCCAUGUGUAGCGGUGAAAUGCGUAGAGAUAUGGAGGAACACCAGUGGCGAAGGCGGCUUCCUGGUCUGUAACUGACACUGAGGCGCGAAAGCGUGGGGAGCAACAGGAUUAGAUACCCUGGU